ACCCAGAUAGCAGUACUUGCUGUUAGAAUUAUGAGCCGCAGUAAGUGCUUACCUGUUUGGGCAU
This 64-nucleotide microRNA precursor is filed under the name Petromyzon marinus (sea lamprey). RNAcentral's name for it is "Pma-Mir-430-o35_pre stem-loop". Lineage: Eukaryota; Metazoa; Chordata; Hyperoartia; Petromyzontiformes; Petromyzontidae. The record is from RNAcentral.